AAUCAUCGCCAGCCAACACCACAUAAAAAACGAGCCCGCCAUCCGAAAAAAACUGUACGUUUCACUAUUAAUUACACUACAGACCCUACUUAUCAUAACAUUUACAACCUCAGAAAUAAUAAUAUUCUACAUUCUAUUCGAAGCCACACUAAUCCCAACACUAAUUAUCAUCACCCGGUGAGGCAACCAAACAGAACGGAUAAAGGCGGGGUUAUAUUUCCUUUUCUACACUCUCACUGGAUCCCUACCACUUCUGGUUGCCCUAACUUACCUAAAAAAUUCCCUCGGCUCACUAAACUUUAUUCUAUUCAGUUACAAAACAUCCCCCCUCCUGCCCACAUGAUCCAAAGGCAUGUUACGACUCGCCUGCAUCAUAGCAUUUAUGGUUAAAUUUCCACUAUAUGGCCUACACCUAUGACUACCAAAAGCCCAUGUAGAAGCCCCUGUCGCCGGCUCAAUAGUACUGGCCGCUGUCCUGCUAAAACUAGGGGGCUACGGAAUAAUACGAAUCUCACAACUCCUAGAGCCCCUCACAACCUCAAUAAGCUACCCAUUCAUCUUAUUGUCCCUGUGAGGAAUAAUUAUAACUAGCUCCAUCUGCCUACGACAAACGGACCUAAAAUCUCUUAUCGCCUACUCCUCCGUUAGCCACAUAGCCCUUGUAAUCACAGCUAUCCUCAUUCAAACACCAUGAAGUUAUAUAGGAGCCACAGCCCUAAUAAUCGCUCACGGUCUCACAUCAUCCCUUUUAUUUUGCCUAGCAAACUCCAACUACGAACGGACCCAUAGCCGAACCAUAAUCCUAGCCCGCGGACUACAAACCAUCCUUCCCCUAAUAGCACUCUGAUGACUCCUUGCUAGCCUUACUAACCUCGCUUUACCCCCAUCAAUCAACCUAGUAGGAGAAUUAUUAAUCAUCACUUCAGCCUUCUCUUGAUCAAACUUCACAAUCAUCCUAACCGGACUAAACGUACUCAUUACGGCACUAUACACACUAUAUAUGCUAACUUCCACACAACGCGGCACACCUCCCCACCACAUCAUCAACCUCCCCCCUUCAUUUACACGAGAAAACACACUAAUAACACUUCACCUAUUCCCCCUACUACUAAUAACCCUCAACCCUAAAAUCAUCCUAGGGAACCUAUUCUGUAAAAAUAGUUUAACAAAAACACUAGAUUGUGAAUCUAAAGACAGAGAUUUAAGCUCUCCUUUUUACCAAGAAAGUGAAGUAGAACUGCUAAUUCUACAUCCCAUACAUAAAAAUAUGGCUUUCUCACUUUUAAAGGAUAGAAGCAAUCCGUUAGUCUUAGGAACUAAAAACUUGGUGCAACUCCAAAUAAAAGUAAUAAACUUAUAUAUCUCAUCAUUCAUUAUAUCACUACUACUACUUACCACACCUAUCCCACUAUCCAAUAUUAAUUUUCCCAAAAACAUAUCAUACCCCUCAUACGUAAAAUCAAUUAUCUCCUUAUCAUUCUUUAUCAGCCUAAUCCCAACCACCAUACUACUACUAUCGAACCAAGAAACAGUAAUCUCCAACUGAAGCUGAAUACA
Heterocephalus glaber (naked mole-rat) is the source of this 1557-nucleotide long non-coding RNA. The record is from Ensembl. Lineage: Eukaryota; Metazoa; Chordata; Mammalia; Rodentia; Bathyergidae.